Molecule: transfer RNA, 68 nt
Filed under: Marmota monax (woodchuck)
Lineage: Eukaryota; Metazoa; Chordata; Mammalia; Rodentia; Sciuridae
Description: tRNA.Val
Rfam family: tRNA (bases 5-65)
About the family: Transfer RNA (tRNA) molecules are approximately 80 nucleotides in length. Their secondary structure includes four short double-helical elements and three loops (D, anti-codon, and T loops).
Source: RNAcentral
GGUUUGUGGCUUAGUGGUAGAGCACUUGCCUCACAUGUGUGAGGCACUGGGUUCAAUUCUCAGCACCA